AGAGUUAAAUAGUACGUGAAAUUGUUGAAAGGGAAACGAUUAAAGUCAGUCAUGUUAGUAGGGAAUCAACCUGAUGGUAUGCGAACUUCUCGUGUCCUUUCCGGUGCACUUCCUUACUUACAGGUUAGCAUCAAUUUUGGUUAUCAUAAAAAAAUCAAGGGAAGGUGGCUUUUCUUCGGAGAAGUGUUAUAGACCUUGAUAAAUGUGAUGACCAGGAUUGAGGAUUGCAGCGGAUACCCUUUCGGGCUAGUCACCUGGCUUCUGAUGGUUACCCCGUCUUCGAUAGCUUGCUAACGUUGAUGGGACUCGAUUAUCUAGUUGUUAGAGUGAUCAUAAAUUCGCUAAGGAUGCUGACGUAAUGGCUUUAAACGACC
This 374-nucleotide ribosomal RNA is filed under the name Acaulospora delicata. RNAcentral's name for it is "partial large subunit ribosomal RNA". The record is from RNAcentral. Lineage: Eukaryota; Fungi; Glomeromycota; Glomeromycetes; Diversisporales; Acaulosporaceae.